RNAcentral lists this long non-coding RNA (365 nucleotides) under Fukomys damarensis (Damara mole-rat). RNAcentral's name for it is "lncRNA (ENSFDAG00000027335.1)". The record is from RNAcentral. Lineage: Eukaryota; Metazoa; Chordata; Mammalia; Rodentia; Bathyergidae.
AGGGAGAGGAAGCGGUGAGGUCAGGAAGGGAGGGGAGCAGGCAGGGCCUCUCAUUUGGGCCUGGACCAUAGUGUGCUCUGUGGCUUUUCUUCUGAGCUGAUGGGGGAGUUAGGGAUCAUUUUUGAUCCCACGAUGGGAUUUAUAUAUGGAGGGGGUCCCUCCAGCUGUGUGGGCAAGAGGUGGCCGGGUGAGCAAGCACGUCCAGCUGGCCAUGCAGCGGGUGUCUGUGCCGAGACCAUUCCUGGCUCCCACUCGGGAAAUGUCCCCACUGCUGGCCCAGAGGUGGCAUUGGGAGCGACAGACUGUCCGCCCUGAGUCCAGCUGUGCACGAGCCCUCCACGCUGCAAUUGGCAGCCUCGAGCAGC